Long non-coding RNA from Gigantopelta aegis, 2341 nucleotides. RefSeq lists it as uncharacterized. Lineage: Eukaryota; Metazoa; Mollusca; Gastropoda; Neomphalida; Peltospiridae. The transcript is spliced from 4 exons. The record is from RefSeq and is a predicted model, not a curated record.
GACGGAAGGAAAUUUUAUUCUCAGUAGAGAUUCUUUUGAUCUUUGUUAGUGUGUACUAGUUGUACUUUCACGUUCCUAAUUAAAACAAUUACGUAUUAAUAUCGUUUAUUGUUAUAAUUAGCUAUGGUAAAUGAGUGUAUUUUCUGUGGUUUGUGUACGAGCGGAGAGUUACGUGGUGUAGCGGUUGCGGUACACUGUCUGUUUACAUUACGCCGUGAUGUAAACAAUGUACGGAACAGUUGGUCCUAAUUCUGCUACAGUCCACGAAAUAUCCGAUAUACAAGUAAGCUAGAAGAAUGAAUGUUUUAAUAUGGAGAUGAUGGAGAGAAAGCAGCUUCCAUGCAAGUCAUUAAAGCGUGCUAGAGAAUUCGUGGAAAUUCAAACCGACGAAUGCAGUGCCGUUCGUAACUUUGUGAUGAAGUGCUUACCUGAGGUGCCACGAGUCGCUGGAUCGAUCGUCCUCAAUGGACUCCCUUGUGUUUACGUCACCAGUGCCCAACAACUAGUAUAGCUUACAUCAAAAGUAGUGACAGUCACUGGUUGGGCCGGAGAAAAACUCGAAUCCACGAAGAGCGAUCGAUCCUGAAACCUAUCAUACAUCAGGAGAACUCUCUGUCGUUAAGCUACUUCCUGUCCAAGUUAUUCUGGAUGAGUGAUUUAGUAAGUUUGCAAAGAACUAGGUUCCAGACAGGAAUCAAAUGGCUGCCAAACAUAUUAUGUAAAGUAGUAUCAAAUAAGCCACAGAGAAACACUUCUAAUUUUGCAACAACGUCGUAUUUCUCCUUCCGAGUUCCUUCCCUAUUUCGGCUCUUUCGCUUGUUUUGCAGUUUAAUGUUCCGUUAUCUUCUUUAUUGUGCCCUCUUUCUGUCUCUCUGUCUCGGUCUCUCUCUGUAAUGCUCUCUUUCUCAGUUUCUCUCUGGGGGUUUUCUUUUUCGGUCUAUCUACUUCUCGCUGUCUUUUUUUGUUUUUUGUUUUAUCUCUUUCUCUAUUUAUGACCAAUAUCUUGUUUUUCGCUAACACAUUUUAAAACUGUUGUACGUUUGUUAAGUAGCUGGUAGGGUGGUGUUUAAAAUUUAUACAAUAUAGCUUAAUCUUUGCUGUCGGUCCAAAUUAAAUUACAAUUUUUUAAGAUUAAUUUUUCCUUUUUAUAUAUUUAAAUACGUAUUUUAUAUUCCUAUUUUUUCUUUACAAUAGGACGAUUACAUAUUGCCUAGUCAUGUUUUAUCCAUACUGGUCUAGAUGAGUAUUUUUAGAUUCGUGUUAUUGUUAGUAAUGGUUUAUGUAUAUUUUGUUUGUGUGUUAACGAAUUUCCCGUAAUAUUAUUUUCCUUUUCCUGGUCUUUCCAUCAUCGUUGACAAAAUAUAUUAGCUGUCAGUUAUUGGUCCGAGGUUUUUAACGCAAGUAUAUACGUCUGUUACGUGCAUCACUUAGAGAAGAAAAAAAAACCUGUCGUUGUUGACAAAAUAUAUUAGUUGUCAGUUAUUAGUGUCAGGUUUUUAACGCAAGUAUGUGUGUCUAUGACGUGUGUCUAUGACGUGUGUCACUUAAAGAAGAAUGGAAUGGAAUGGGAACUCUAUUUACGUGCCCAUAUCCAAUAAAGGUUCAGGCACGCCUACCACGGGUCCAGCCUCUGACAUCGCCAGUGGGUGGUUCCGGGGAAAACUUAAAGAAGAAAAACCUGUCAAACUACUAGUGCGUUAUAUAGGAUCUCCACGAGUACUCAAGUACUAGCGGACUGGCCGAGUCAAGCAAGUCUGAAGUCCGUUCACAGGACUCGAGUACCCCUGCAAAGAAGAGCACUCUCAUUUAAUUUCAUUGGUUUAACGUCAUUUUGCCAUGAACCGUUUGCCUCCGGUUACGUUAUAGGGCCAUGCAUGUGUGGAAUGCAACACAAUGGCAUGCUUCGGCAUCAUUGUUCAGCACUAGGAUUAAGACGCACAAUGCUAGUUUACUUUAUUCCAUAGUCUCAUUAUCAUCUAGUGUCGGUUACUCGGGUCCGGGUCGAGUUUUACCCUCGAGUACUCGAGUCCAAUAAAGAAAAGAAGAAACAGAGCCAUGAAUGUGAUUAUUUUAAUUUUAUUUACAAUUGGGGUAUUCCCCCACGAAUUGGACUACCGGGUACAUAUAAAUUAAACCAAAUAAAAGAAGGAAGAAAUAACAAACAAAAAACCAACAACAACAACCACCAUAGUAAUCUAAUAGUCUAAAUUUAUAGGUACAUUCCUGACUUUGCUGCAAUUUUUAAGAUGUUAUCAACUAUCAGAGACUUUAUAACGAUUGUAAUUACAUAUCAAAUCAAAUAUUAGUGGCUGUAUAUUAAACGUGUUUCCGAUCGUUCUAA